Molecule: ribosomal RNA, 459 nt
Filed under: uncultured bacterium
Lineage: Bacteria
Description: partial 16S ribosomal RNA
Rfam family: Bacterial small subunit ribosomal RNA
Source: RNAcentral
CCUACGGGGGGCAGCAGUGAGGAAUAUUGGUCAAUGGACGAGAGUCUGAACCAGCCAAGUAGCGUGAAGGAUGACUGCCCUAUGGGUUGUAAACUUCUUUUAUAAAGGAAUAAAACGAGGCACGUGUGCCUUUUUGCAUGUACUUUAUGAAUAAGGAUCGGCUAACUCCGUGCCAGCAGCCGCGGUAAUACGGAGGAUCCGAGCGUUAUCCGGAUUUAUUGGGUUUAAAGGGUGCGUAGGCGGGCUUUUACGUCAGCGGUAAAAUUUCGGGGCUCAACCCCGUCCGGCCGUUGAAACUGGGGGCCUUGAGUGGGCGAGAAGAAGGCGGAAUGCGUGGUGUAGCGGUGAAAUGCAUAGAUAUCACGCAGAACCCCGAUUGCGAAGGCAGACUUCCGGCGCCCUACUGACGCUGAGGCACGAAAGUGCGGGGAUCGAACAGGAUUAGAUACCCCUGUAGUC